Molecule: ribosomal RNA, 741 nt
Filed under: uncultured bacterium
Lineage: Bacteria
Description: bacterial SSU rRNA
Rfam family: Bacterial small subunit ribosomal RNA
Source: RNAcentral
GGGAUAGCCUUUCGAAAGAAAGAUUAAUACCCGAUGGCAUAGUUCUUCCGCAUGGUGGAACUAUUAAAGAAUUUCGGUCAUCGAUGGGGAUGCGUUCCAUUAGGUUGUUGGCGGGGUAACGGCCCACCAAGCCUUCGAUGGAUAGGGGUUCUGAGAGGAAGGUCCCCCACAUUGGAACUGAGACACGGUCCAAACUCCUACGGGAGGCAGCAGUGAGGAAUAUUGGUCAAUGGACGAGAGUCUGAACCAGCCAAGUAGCGUGAAGGAUGACUGCCCUAUGGGUUGUAAACUUCUUUUAUACGGGAAUAAAGUGAGGCACGCGUGCCUUUUUGUAUGUACCGUAUGAAUAAGGAUCGGCUAACUCCGUGCCAGCAGCCGCGGUAAUACGGAGGAUCCGAGCGUUAUCCGGAUUUAUUGGGUUUAAAGGGAGCGUAGGCGGACGCUUAAGUCAGUUGUGAAAGUUUGCGGCUCAACCGUAAAAUUGCAGUUGAUACUGGGUGUCUUGAGUACAGUAGAGGCAGGCGGAAUUCGUGGUGUAGCGGUGAAAUGCUUAGAUAUCACGAAGAACUCCGAUUGCGAAGGCAGCCUGCUGGACUGUAACUGACGCUGAUGCUCGAAAGUGUGGGUAUCAAACAGGAUUAGAUACCCUGGUAGUCCACACAGUAAACGAUGAAUACUCGCUGUUUGCGAUAUACAGUAAGCGGCCAAGCGAAAGCGUUAAGUAUUCCACCUGGGGAGUAC